AACAAGCCAUCUUACGAGAGUUUGUUUCCAUUAAAAUUUAAGUGAUUAAGAAUAAAACAUUGAUAAAAUAUUAUUAAUUUUAUUAGCCUUAUGUUUCGUAGAUUUGUAUAUGUAUACAUUUAGAACUUAGUAAUACUGUAACUUUAAUGUUAUCAUUCAAGUUUGAUUAUUCAUAGAGAUAUUAUGAUAACUGUAGAGAGAAAUAUUGUAAAUUCAUAGUAAUAUUUAUGAUAUUAUAGUCUCAUAAAUAUGCAUACGUGUUUGCAAAGCAUUUACACGAUAAAAGGUCGUAAAUUUAAUAUUAUUUAAUUCUAUUUAGAGUCGAUAAUGUCACCGCUCUUCAAUUACCACUGCGCCCCUCGAGCUCCUUUGGUAAUGACGAACAUUUGCUGGUUUAACAGUACCUCAUCGGUGGCUGUACGUGCUGGCUGUGCAUUGUGAAUCCCAUAGAUAUCAGUAAAUAUAACAACGCACAUAGACGUAGAUAGAACUUAAGUUAUAUAAUAAGUUAAACAUUAUAUGUGUGUUUGAUUUGCCGAUAUUUCUGUACUUGUAGGAGAGAAAAUAAUCGAGUUUAUAUCAAAAAGAAAGAACAGCUUUCGCCUAAAUAUGAAGACUGCUGCAUACAAUAAUUAAUCUUGAAAGAACGUCACACAUGCGAACAUACACGUACUUUCUGACGCCAGCUGCAAGCGAUUUGCUGCAAAACCUGAUGCUGUCUUCCUCGUUUUUAAGUAUGCCAUCUCUGCGAUGUAAAAGCAACGUAGGAGAGAAAAGUUAUAUAUGUAUAUGGGUGCAAACGUUAUUUCUUUUUUUAACAUCGAGAUCGUUACAAAAUCGAUAACUCUUCGCCGACCGUGCAAGAAAGUUUUUCCAAACGAUCUCGGCAAGUUGUAUCAAUACAUAUUCAAGUACUCCUUGACACAUGUUCACUACGUACAUGUUAAAUACGUAAAAUCAUCCUACUUUUCACCGACAUAACCGUUAAUCGUACGCAGCGUUGAUUCAUGCAGCGAACUCCAACUUUCGCAUUGGUAUAUGUAAUGUAAUCGGAAAGGAAUGUAAAAAACUUUGCUUGAUAAAGCCCGAUUUCAGAGAAAAAAAUUACCAGAUUGAAAAACUUUCGACGACCUUCAUUACUUAAUAUUGUGCAAUUAUGGGCUCUUGUGAACUUUAUUCGGUGAGCACAUAAAACUCAUGGAAUUUCCAUUCAUUUUUCUCAACUCUGCAUCUAAUUGCGGACAAUUACAAUAUUCAAACUAUACGUCAUUAACACGACAGAAAUUUAUUCUGUCUUAUGCGGUUUUCUCCUGUAGAAGACAAAAAGGAGAUUCAAUUGCCAUAAAUAGCGUAAAUUGGGACGAUGCUACGAGCGUUGAUUAAAGUGGCGGAAUUUAGCGUUGAAACGCGUUGUAAAGCUGGUAUACGAGGUUCGCGUAAGAUAAACGGUCGAUUUAUCAAGGCAGAUUACGAAGUUUCACAGUGUCGUAAAGAUCCUUCGUACUUCAUAGAAGACAGACAGAUUUGCACGAUAUUAUAUCCUAAAUAUCAACACGUCGUUCUUUAAAACCACACUUUAAACAACGCGACUAUACAUACGAUCUUCAAAUUUGGCACAUUUAUCGAGAGUAUUUCAAUUAAAGAAUAAAGUAAAUAUAUGAACUUUUUAUAAUUUUCUAAAUAGUAAUCAUAAUUUUUUAAUGUUUUUUUGAUCUUAUGAAAAUCACAUUUGAUCACCAUUGAGAUUACAGUAUGGCUCUUGAUUCCUACGUAAUUAAACGUCGAUGCUAUUUACGUCAUGAUAUUUCCAGACUCAUUUCAAACACGUAAUUUGAACUUUAUACUCUAUCAGUCCUCCUAUAAUUGCAAAUACGAAUGAAUCUCUCAAUCCCCAACUAAAAUCAGAAAUAUCAAGGAGUUAAUGGCAUAUAAUGACUUAUUACAUAAACUUGAAUAUCUUGCUGUUACGUUCGUGUUGAUCUAAUAACAAUUAAUUAAUCGAUUUGAUCUAUUACGUUACUGUAAUCGGGACUGACACCUACAAGACAAUUAGAGACAAUUGCAAUCUCAUUAUCGCAUUGGCCAUUCAAUACAAGGAAUGAAAUUUGACACCCGUAGCAAUUGAGAUUUAAUUGUACAGUACGUGUAAUAUAAUAUUACCUAACAUAUAUUUUAUUGCGAUACAUAUUACGCUUUUAAAACGUAGGCGGAUUAAACCUUUUAAAUCUAGGCUAUUUGCAUAUAGCUUAUGUUCGUAAAAUAGCAGCAAGGCGUCCAUUGCAUCCGAGUGUAGAGACGCAAAAAACAUUGCACAUAGCUUUCUUCGACCGCAGGUGGCAGUUCACAUCAAACAUAGUAGCACAUAUGGUCUAAAAAAAGUCUUUCUCUCCAGUAAAACGAUAAAACUUUUAUAAUUAUGCAAAGGUCGUGAAACGCGAUAUUCAUGUUUAGUUUUUUUUUUAUAACUUAUUCAUUAAACUGUUUUACUAUUUUUACUAGAAAAUUUCUCCGCAAACAAAGUGACUGUUAAGUUGAUGAAAAACGCCUACGAAAUAACAUGUGACAUAUGGAACUACUUCUACUAAUGUGCUUAUUUGAAUCAUUCGCUUAAUACCGGAAAUCAUACGCUUAUGUAACGGAAGUAAAUCAUGCGUUCACUGUGAUCGCAUACGUGAUUACUUGUGGAUGUUGUGGCUGCACAGAGAUCAUUAAACUGGAUGACCCGGCUUUCACGCGCCGCUCUGAGUGCGAAUAAUCACUACGAUUCAAUCAGUGCGGUUUAUUAGAUAUUAGCGCGAAUUUACGCAACUCUCUGUGAGAAACGACUAACAUAAAAGCAUUAUAUCGUCGCUAUUGAUCGAUGUAAGUAUAAUGUUGCAACCAAUACGUGUAGAGGUAAAAUAUAUUUUAAAAUGUGUUUUAUGUUCUUUUCUUAGAAGAUAUUCUAUGAAAUUAUAAUAAGGGCAUUUUUUCUCCCCGUUUGAAAGAUAAAUUAUUUCUUAAUUUACUUUUCAACAAGCAGAGAAAGAAUCUAAGAGAAUUUUAAUACAAUUCUCUAUUAGCCAAUAUAUGAAAUUUCUUUAUUAGUUACCAAACUUUGUAAUUUCAUAACUCAGCCCAUUUUCCAUGAAUGCGCUCAAAACUUUCUCCGUCACAGCGGAGUUUAAUCGACGACCUUACUUCGAGAUCUUCAGUUAUAUUCAACAACUUGAUUAUCACAACAAUACGGAACUUCGUAGGUCGAGAGUACAACAAGGAGUACAACGAAUUAAGUACAGCAUCGAGGCAGUUAGACUUCUCGACGAUCGAUCGCAUCGACAGCAUGCGUAAACUAUUUUACGUCAGCAAGUGAAACACGAUUUACGAUUCUACAACAAUAUUAUAAAAAUCUCAUAAAGAUAUAACGAAUAUAUAAUUAAUAAUGAAUCUUUAUUAUGUUAUAUUAUAAUUUUAAUAAUUUUUAAAUUAUAAUAACAAUAAAAUUGUUAUAUUACACGCAUUCUUAAUAAAGCACGUGCCUUGAAUACUAAUGUGGUCUUAAAAAUUGUCUACUGCGUCAGAUUUCCAAGAAAGUACGAGUUUUAAACCUCUUAAAAAUGCUUUUUCUGACUGCUUAUAUGAAUUCGUAACGCCUGAAUGAACCAGUCAUGCUGCAAUAAUUUAGAAAAGAUUUGAAAUUGAAGUUUGAGUCUUUGUUUUGUUUUAAAAUGUUCAGAAACUUAAAGUGCAACUUCGUUAAAACCUUCUUAGAAGGAAUGAAGAACCGUCACAAGUUUAUACACAACAAAAUAAUGAAAUAUCUCGCACCUAACAAAUUUUUGUAAAUUUCUGUUAUGGGUAGGGGCUCGGGAAAUAUUAUAAUAAAGAUUAUACAAAAAUAUUCUACUUAUUUAUGUUGCAUAUAUUUUCAUUAGAAGGGGAUAAAAUUUCGAAAAUAACAUAUGCUUUGACCUUUCAUUAUAAAAGUGCAAGCAAUUGGUUAAAAUUUGUAAUAUAAUAAGCACAAUAAAAUUAUUUUUUAAAUAAUAAAGAGGAAGGGAAUGUCUAAUAUUGGCAAGCUUCUAAAGCAGCAGCUCUUUGUUUCUCAGAAACUAAUUGCAUUGUAUGAAUAUUAAUAGAAACAUGAUCUAUUUAGACAAUUAAAGAAAUAAAAUCCAUAAUUUAUACAUACAUAUAUACAUAUAUAACACACACACACACACACACACACACACACACAACAUCUAUGCCUUAUAAUAAUGUACUUGCAACAUAAAUUUUCUAUUAUCAUUAUUUUUGAAAAAGUGGGAAAUUAUAACAUAACUACAAUACUACCACAAUUUUUACAUUAUAUAAAAUAUGAUGUUACAAUAAUAUAUAUAGUUGUAGUAGUAAACAUGUAACUGUCUCGACUGGGAAAUUGUCUAAAAUAUUUAUAUAACAAACAAAAGAAUGUUUUACAUUGAACUAAAAUGCUUUUUAGAAUUUUCAUAUACAUUAACUUGUAAAUAUUUUAUACAAAGAACUCAUGUUAAAGAAUAAAAAAAUAAAAAUAUAGCUUACUACGUCAGUUUGAAGAUCCAUGUCUCUGACGUUUAUUUUUUACAAAAUAUAAAACAAAAUUAUAGAAAAACUAUAUACCAUCAAACAAAAGGCACUUUCUAGUUUAUAUUUGUUUUUAAAGUUUAUUUCUUUUGUUUAAAAAUGCUAUCCAAAAUUGAAGUGGUGUACCAGAUUUGGUUAUCGUUUUCUACAUACAUUACCUUACUGCAUGUGUAUAAUUUUAAUAAUUUUCAAAAUGUUAUUGCAACAAUUGAAUCAAUAAAAAAUUAUUUUACAUAGAACAAUAUACACAAUUAUGUUCUUACCAGUAUUAAACCUUUAUAUAUUUUUCGUAUCUGUUUUUAAUGUGUACUAUAUCAUAAACAACGCGCGGAAGCGUAGCAUUACGUUUUGUUUGUAAAAGCAGUGACAACCAAAAUCCGCUUUCAAUGCGCGCGAUGAAACUCCUGAAAGAGAUAGACGCCGUAUCCCGUCUAUUUCGCGUAUCGCAAACAAGACGAAUCUUAUUAUCACACAGAAAUGGAAUCCGGAUGAGUUACGACUCAUUGAAAUUCUUGUGGAGUUUCGCUCGAUCGGCUCUCAAAAUAUCGUUCGUUGAAAUAUUUGCGAAUGUCAUCGAUACGCACUUACAUCGUCAAUUGAUUUUGCUUUUUACGAGGAAAAUGUUUUUUUCCUCUAUACGAACGGCGUAUACUAUUCUUACAAUCUGAGUUGAAUAGAAUAAUUUAGAGAUGAGGAAGGAAUGGUGUAGACGUGCUUCUCCUCACGGGGGGUCACUACGUUAUACAAUGAAAAUGAAUUGCAGUACAAGGCAUGAUAAUGAAUUCAACUUCGUCCUUUUUCUUUACAGGGAUUUAAUAAACUAUUCAAUUACACAAAAGUUGAGAAAAUUUACACGUCUCCGCCACCUUUCGUUGAACAUUUCAAUGUUAUAAUACAUAUCAUGAAUACCUCUGAAUUAAUGUGGUAUGUUUUAAAGAAGCUAUUUAGUAGUCUAAUUGUUAAUCUCUAUACGUAUAUAAAUAUGAUAAAUUUUUACAUUACCAAAG
Monomorium pharaonis (pharaoh ant) is the source of this 5591-nucleotide long non-coding RNA. RefSeq lists it as uncharacterized. The record is from RefSeq and is a predicted model, not a curated record. NCBI's taxonomy places the organism in Eukaryota, Metazoa, Arthropoda, Insecta, Hymenoptera, Formicidae. The transcript has 2 exons.